CUUGGUUGAUCCUACCAGUAGUCAUAUGCUUGUCUCAAAGAUUAAGCCAUGCAUGUGUAAGUAUGAACUAAUUCAGACUGUGAAACUGUGAAUGGCUCAUUAAUAUAGUUAUAGUUUGUUUGAUGGUAUCUACUACUCGGAUAAUCAUAGUAAUUCUAGAGCUAAUACAUGCAACAAACCUUGACUUUUGGAAGGGAUGCAUUUAUUAGAUAAAAGGUCGAUGCGGGCUAUGCCCGUUGCUCUGAUGAUUCAUGAGAACUCAACGGAUCGCACGGCCUUUGUACCGGUGAUGCAUCGUUCAAAUUUUUGCCCAAUCAACUUUUGAUGGUAGGAUAGUGGCCUACUAUGGUGGUGAUGGGUGACGGAGAAUUAGGGUACGAUUUCGAAGAAGGAGCCUAAGAAACGGCUACCACAUCCUAGGAAGGCAGCAGGCGCGCAAAUUACCCAAUCCUUACACGGAGAGGUAGUGACAAUAAAUAACAAUACCGGGCACUAUGAGUUUGGUAACUGGAAUGAGUAUAAUCUAAAUCCCUUAACGAGGAUCCAUUGAAGGGUAAGUCUGGUGCCAACAACUGUGGUAAUUCCAGCUCCAAUAGCAUAUAUUUAAGUUGUUGCAGUUAAAAAGCUCGUAGUUGAAACUAGGGUUGGGUCAUCCGAUCCGCCUCACGGUGAGCAUCGAUCUACUCGUCCCUACUGCUAACGAUGCGUUCCUGGACUUAAUUGCCCGGGUAGCGCAAAGUAGGCCUAUGCUUGUAUACAUUAGCAUGGGAUAAGAUCAUAGGAUUUCGAUCCUAUUGUGUUGGCCUUCGGGAUCAGAGUAAUGAUUAAUAGGGACAGUCGGGGGCAUUCGUAUUUCAUAGUCAGAGGUGAAAUUCUUGGAUUUAUGAAAGACAAACAACUAUGAAAGCAUUUGCCAAGGAUGUUUUCAUUAAUCAAGAAUGAAAGUUGGGGGCUCGAAGAUGAUCAGAUACCAUCCUAGUCUCAACCAUAAACGAUGUCGACCAGGGAUUGAUGGAUGUUACUUUUAGGACUCCGUCGGCACCUUAUGAGAAAUCAAAGUCUUUGGGUUCCAGGGGGAGUAUGGUCGCAAGGCUGAAACUUAAAAGAAUUGACAGAAGGGCACCACCAGGAGUGGAGCCUGCGGCUUAAUUUGACUCAACACGGGGAAACUUACCAGGUCCAGACAUAGUAAGGAUUAACAGACUGAGAGCUCUUUCUUGAUUCUAUGGGUGGUUGUGCAUGGCCAUUCUUAGUUGGUGGAGUGAUUUGUCUGGUUAAUUCCAUUAACGAACGAGACCUAAGCCUGCUAACUAGCUACGCAAAGGUGAUCCUUCAUGGCUAGCUUCUUAGAGGGACUAUGGUCGCUUAGGCUAAGAAAGUUUGAGGCAAUAACAGGUCUGUGAUGACCUUAGAUGUUUUGGGCCGCACGCACGCUACACUGAUGUAUUCAAUGAGUGUAUAGCCUUGGCCAACAGGCCCGGGUAAUCUUUGAAAUUUCAUCGUGAUGGGGAUAGAUCAUUGCAAUUGUUGGUCUUCAAUGAGGAAUUUAUGUAAACGUGAGUCAUCAGCUUACGUUGACUACGUCCCUACCCUUUGUACACACCGCCCGUCGCUCCUAUCGAUUGAAUGGUUUGGUGAAGUGUUCGGAUCAUGGCGACGUGGAUGGUUCACCGCCCGUGACGUCGUGAGAAGUCCACGAACCUUAUCAUUUAGAGGAAGAAAAAGUUGUAACAAGGUUUCUGUAGGUGAACCUGCAGAAG
RNAcentral lists this ribosomal RNA (1760 nucleotides) under Durio zibethinus. RNAcentral's name for it is "SSU rRNA". It matches the Rfam family "Eukaryotic small subunit ribosomal RNA". The record is from RNAcentral. Lineage: Eukaryota; Viridiplantae; Streptophyta; Magnoliopsida; Malvales; Malvaceae.